GAUGAACGCUGGCGGCGUGCCUAAUACAUGCAAGUCGAGCGAACGGACGAGAAGCUUGCUUCUCUGAUGUUAGCGGCGGACGGGUGAGUAACACGUGGAUAACCUACCUAUAAGACUGGGAUAACUUCGGGAAACCGGAGCUAAUACCGGAUGAUAUUUUGAACCGCAUGGUUCAAAAGUGAAAGACGGUCUUGCUGUCACUUAUAGAUGGAUCCGCGCUGCAUUAGCUAGUUGGUAAGGUAACGGCUUACCAAGGCAACGAUGCAUAGCCGACCUGAGAGGGUGAUCGGCCACACUGGAACUGGGACACGGUCCAGGCUCCUACGGGAGGCAGCAGUAGGGAAUCUUCCGCAAUGGGCGAAAGCCUGACGGAGCAACGCCGCGUGAGUGAUGAAGGUCUUCGGAUCGUAAAACUCUGUUAUUAGGGAAGAACAUAUGUGUAAGUAACUGUGCACAUCUUGACGGUACCUAAUCAGAAAGCCACGGCUAACUACGUG
RNAcentral lists this ribosomal RNA (497 nucleotides) under uncultured bacterium. RNAcentral describes it as "partial 16S ribosomal RNA". It matches the Rfam family "Bacterial small subunit ribosomal RNA", at positions 28 to 507 of the family's 1533-position model. The record is from RNAcentral.